GGGUUCGGCCGGGAUUUGAACCCGGGACCUCUCGCACCCUAAGCGAGAAUCAUACCACUAGACCACCGAACC
This 72-nucleotide transfer RNA is filed under the name Araneus ventricosus. Its description in RNAcentral is "tRNA-Pro". The record is from RNAcentral. Lineage: Eukaryota; Metazoa; Arthropoda; Arachnida; Araneae; Araneidae.